CCUACGGGAGGCAGCAGUGGGGAAUAUUGCACAAUGGGGGAAACCCUGAUGCAGCGACGCCGCGUGAAGGAAGAAGUAUUUCGGUAUGUAAAACUCUUUAAGUGGGGAAGAAGAAAGUGACUGUACACACAGAAUAAGCCUCGGCUAACUACGUGCCAGCAGCCGCGGUAAUACGUAGGAGGCAAGCGUUAUCCGGAAGGACUGGGCGUAAAGGGUGCUGAGGUGGUGUGACAAGUUAGUAGCGUAAUUCCGGGGCUCAACUUCGGAACUACUACUAAAACUGUUGGGCUUGAGUGCAGGAGAGGUGAAUGGAAGUACUAGUGUAGCGGUGGAAUGCGUAGAUAUUAGGAGGAACACCAGCGGCGAAGGCGAUUCACUGGACUGUAACUGACACUGAGGCACGAAAGCGUGGGGAGCAAACAGGAUUAGAUACCCGAGUAGUC
Molecule: ribosomal RNA, 443 nt
Filed under: uncultured bacterium
Lineage: Bacteria
Description: partial 16S ribosomal RNA
Rfam family: Bacterial small subunit ribosomal RNA
Source: RNAcentral